RNAcentral lists this long non-coding RNA (2376 nucleotides) under Homo sapiens (human). Its description in RNAcentral is "HSALNT0371063". Lineage: Eukaryota; Metazoa; Chordata; Mammalia; Primates; Hominidae. The record is from RNAcentral.
CUUUCAGCCCCGGAGCCCGUCUGCUGUGUAUUCGGCCGGUCACAUCUCUCUCCCCCAACGCCCUGAUCCGCCCUCCACCUUCCUCUCCUCCAGGUUCUGGGCCGGAGAAGGGGCGACGUUCGGGCACCCCCCGAAUGGACAAUCUUUCCUUCUGUCAACGGCAGGGGCAGGCCUAGUUUGACUCUGACAGUCCUCCCACUAAGGUAGGUGUGAGUACUUGCCCAGACCGUGAGGGAGAUUUGGGGGGCUCUGGCCUGCAGCCCAGGGAGGGCCGAACCCCAAACACGCCGGGCUGGUUCUGCGGCCCCGCCCCACCCCACCCCCCCCCCCCCAGCUGCGAGCGCGUAGGGCCGCCUGCUGGGCCGCCGGGGCCAUCCAUCCCCGUCUGUCAGCUUCUGUUGUCAGGCAUUUGGGGCGUGUAAGUCUCUGCCGAAUAUAGCAGCAUACGAGAGGAUCCACUUGCAAGUAUUUCCCAGUUGUGUGUUCUUCGGCGGGGGGAGGGCCCUGGGUGCCGCCUACUUCUGAAAGACACAGGUCACUGUCAGAAAGCCCAACUGUGCUGUGGCCUUCCCUCCAGCCGCCCCCGUGGGGCAUGUGGGGUGACAGUGUGAGCCGUCCUCUGAUGUCUGGCUGCUAGAGAGGCAAAGAACAGAGACCCGAGGUUCCGGCCACCUUUCUCUAUGAAAGGGCCUUCCUUGACGCUUCUCCACCUUCCUGGGAUUGUUUUCUUCUCCAGUCCCCGAAUGGGCAGGCCUGUAUAUAAGCCUUGUUUCUAGAACCAGACAAAGCUGGAUUUGAAACCUGGCGAGCCAUUGAACAGCUAUGGCCUUGCGUAAGCGGUAUAGCCUCCAAGCCUAUUUCUCCAUCUCCGAAAACAGGGCUAGAUCAGUGGUUCUUAGUCUGGAACCGGCAUCAGAAUCACACCGGAAGGGGGGCUCACUGAAAAUGGACCACCGGGCCUGGUGCCCAAGUGUCUGAUUCAGUGGGUUGGUCCUUAGGACUGGCAUUUCUAACAAGUUCCCAGGUGAGGUGAGGCUGAUGCUGUGGUCUGGGAACACAUUUUGAGACUCCAGCCCCUAGCCUGGUAACACCUGGGGUUUUGACGCAGAAGUGCCACGUUCCACGCUUGGCACAUAGUAAUUGAUUUCAUUCUAACGCUAGCCGACUUCAUGUAUUGAAUAGUUUCCCAUCUCAGUGUCUAAGAAGCUCCACAGCUGGAGAUGGCGGCCCUUGGUCUCGGAGCCCCCCUCCUUGUGAUUUCUGCUUUGUGAUUGCUUUGAUGAACCAUUUGGGUCCAGGUGCUCCUGAUCACACCACCUCCCCUAUUUGGGACUUGUGCCCCACUCCCGCUGUGAGGGCUACACCGAGCUCUGGGGGCCUGUUCGGAUUAACAAGGAGAUCUUGCUAAAGGAAUUCCUGGUGACUGGAAGGGGGAGUGACUCAGGCCCUCAACCUCUAGCAGGUAAGGGAGCUACCUCCUGGGUGGGCAUGCCCAGUUCCUCAGUGGGCCCAGCGCGGCCCAGCCUCCGAGGAAGCUCUGAGCAGCUGGCUUGGCUCCGAGGUAUUUUUAGCUACAGAUCCAGCCCCCCUCCAUCACCACAACAGUCGAGUCCAAAUCAAACGCGCUCCAGGCAGGUGGGGCUGGGGUUCUGCCAGCCUCCUGGCCAGCAGGGGUGGGUGGGCAGACUGGGGCCAGUAUCAGCUGUUCUGCCUGGACCCAGGCCGGGCUGGGAAGGCACACUUGUGCUUAUUUCCCGCCUCCACUUCUGUGCAAGCUUGUGCUGUCAUAAGCAGAGAUCACAGCCCCAUUUCUUGGAUGGAGAAAGUGGACACUGAGGUCUGAGGCUUUUGAGGACAGUCAGGAGCCCUCCUAUGGGCUCCAGUGAUGCACUCACCAGCUUCUGGUCCUCUUCUUCCACCUCUUAGAGUGCCUUGGCUCCCUCCUGUCGUCCUGGGGAACCUCGGCCCCAGCCCUGCCUCCCCAGCCAGUCACAGCUCCUCCCUGGUCACCCUGAGGGAGCUCAGGGCCCGGCUGGUAGCUGGGUUGCUCUGCUUCUGUCCCCCACUCCUGUGGAGCCUGGCAGGCAACUCCAUGAUCUGACCCCGGUUACCUUGACAGCCCUGCCUGGCCUCCCCUCUCAUGGCCCAGCCACCCCAGAACCUGAAGAGGUUUUCUAGCUGCCGUGCAUUUGCCAGGCUGGGUUACCCACCCUACUUUCCCUGCCUGCCCUCCAGUGCUGCCAGGCCUAGUGUGCCAGCCAGCGCUCAGCCUUCAGUAAAGGGUUCCCCUGCUUCCAACCUCCAUUGCACUGCUUCCCCUAAGACUGUGACCUCCUGGAAGGCUGGAGCACAACUGCCUCUCAAUAAACGUGUUGC